CGGCCGCGUCGACCGGCAGAGUAACUGUUGUCGGCGUGACGGUAUCCAACCAGAAAGCCACGGCUAACUACGUGCCAGCAGCCGCGGUAAUACGUAGGUGCCAAGCGUUAUCCGGAUUUAUUGGGCGUAAAGCGAGCGCAGGUGGUUUAUUAAGUCUGGUGUAAAAGGCAGUGGCUCAACCAUUGUAUGCAUUGGAAACUGGUAGACUUGAGUGCAGGAGAGGAGAGUGGAAUUCCAUGUGUAGCGGUGAAAUGCGUAGAUAUAUGGAGGAACACCGGUGGCGAAAGCGGCUCUCUGGCCUGUAACUGACACUGAGGCUCGAAAGCGUGGGAAGCAAACAGGAUUAGAUACCCUGGUAGUCCACGCCGUCGACGCGGCCG
RNAcentral lists this ribosomal RNA (380 nucleotides) under uncultured bacterium. RNAcentral's name for it is "bacterial SSU rRNA". It matches the Rfam family "Bacterial small subunit ribosomal RNA", at positions 440 to 814 of the family's 1533-position model. The record is from RNAcentral.